RNAcentral lists this ribosomal RNA (492 nucleotides) under uncultured bacterium. RNAcentral describes it as "partial 16S ribosomal RNA". It matches the Rfam family "Bacterial small subunit ribosomal RNA", at positions 29 to 507 of the family's 1533-position model. The record is from RNAcentral.
AGUGAACGCUGGCGGUAGGCCUAACACAUGCAAGUCGAACGGCAGCACAGUAAGAGCUUGCUCUUACGGGUGGCGAGUGGCGGACGGGUGAGGAAUACAUCGGAAUCUACUUUUUCGUGGGGGAUAACGUAGGGAAACUUACGCUAAUACCGCAUACGACCUACGGGUGAAAGCAGGGGAUCUUCGGACCUUGCGCGAUUGAAUGAGCCGAUGUCGGAUUAGCUAGUUGGCGGGGUAAAGGCCCACCAAGGCGACGAUCCGUAGCUGGUCUGAGAGGAUGAUCAGACACACUGGAACUGAGACACGGUCCAGACUCCUACGGGAGGCAGCAGUGGGGAAUAUUGGACAAUGGGCGCAAGCCUGAUCCAGCCAUACCGCGUGGGUGAAGAAGGCCUUCGGGUUGUAAAGCCCUUUUGUUGAGAAAGAAAAGCAGCAGGUUAAUACCCCGCUGUUCUGACGGUACCCAAAGAAUAAGCACCGGCUAACUUCGUG